This 253-nucleotide ribosomal RNA is filed under the name uncultured bacterium. RNAcentral's name for it is "partial 16S ribosomal RNA". It matches the Rfam family "Bacterial small subunit ribosomal RNA", at positions 524 to 776 of the family's 1533-position model. The record is from RNAcentral.
UACGGAGGGUGCGAGCGUUGCUCGGAAUCACUGGGCGUAAAGGGCGUGUAGGCGGGGAGGAAAGUCAGAUGUGAAAUCCCCAGGCUCAACCUGGGAACUGCAUUUGAAACUCCCUUUCUUGAGUAUCGGAGAGGAAAGCGGAAUUCCUGGUGUAGAGGUGAAAUUCGUAGAUAUCAGGAGGAACACCAGCGGCGAAGGCGGCUUUCUGGACGAUAACUGACGCUGAGACGCGAAAGCGUGGGGAGCAAACAGG